CUUCUCUACUGAGUCUGGCAGUG
Molecule: microRNA, 23 nt
Filed under: Plutella xylostella (diamondback moth)
Lineage: Eukaryota; Metazoa; Arthropoda; Insecta; Lepidoptera; Plutellidae
Description: pxy-miR-8494-5p
Source: miRBase by way of RNAcentral